RNAcentral lists this small nucleolar RNA (76 nucleotides) under Eutrema salsugineum. RNAcentral's name for it is "Plant small nucleolar RNA R71". It matches the Rfam family "Plant small nucleolar RNA R71". Rfam says of the family: R71 is a member of the C/D box family of snoRNAs containing the C (UGAUGA) and D (CUGA) box motifs. The record is from Rfam by way of RNAcentral. Lineage: Eukaryota; Viridiplantae; Streptophyta; Magnoliopsida; Brassicales; Brassicaceae.
AACCCAUGGUGUGGGCAUUGGUUGGUGUAGCUCCUGAAUCUCUCAUAUGCUUCACCAAAACUCUCAUUCCUGUGUU